Molecule: long non-coding RNA, 4845 nt
Organism: Pipistrellus kuhlii (Kuhl's pipistrelle)
Lineage: Eukaryota; Metazoa; Chordata; Mammalia; Chiroptera; Vespertilionidae
Exons: 2
Source: RefSeq, a predicted model, not a curated record
CUGAGGCUGUGAAUUGAACCUGCAGCAGAGGCACAUGCCUGAGCUCCCAGCCAGGGUGAGGGUGUAUUCCUUUAAGUAAGAAAAACAAUAUCCAAAACUCCAAGCAAGAAAGAUUACCCACUGCUCAGGCAGUAUUUCAGGUGGAAGUGGGUUAAUAAAGAAAUGUAAUUUAUUAUUAAGUGCCUUAUCAUGUGUAAACUUUAUCUUCACAAUUUAAUAAGGAGGAGUCACUGUUACAGCCACGUAUGGCUGAUGAAACAAUGGCAUGGAAGGUACAAUAACUUACUCAAGACUAGUAAGUGGCAGAGCCAGUGUUUGACACCUAAUCUUUCUGACCCUGAUUCCUAUGCUAUUUCCACCCCCUUUCCCGUGGCAAAUUGAUUUUUGAUUGCACACUAAUUUGAGUGGGCUCAGGGUGGGACCUGGCUUAUUGUCACUGAAGUUAGGAGAGGCUGACAGAAAAUGUGGACUGGAGCAGUGUACCAGAGGGACCAGAAUCAUGUGGUAGCUGUGGCUAUGUGCCUUCUGCUGCAAUGCAGUUUGCAUGGGAAGCCAGAGGGGGGCAGAGUCAGAGCAGGAAGGAUGGGCAACCUUGAAGUUGAGGUACCCUUGACCUGUGACAACUCCAUUAUAAAACGUGCCUAUCAGGUAGGACAGAAACUUCGUGCCAGCUCAUCACAGCACCCUCCUCUCUACCCCAGUCCUAUGUAGACAUCCACUCACUUCUUAACAAAUUCCUUGUUCACAGUUGUCUGGGUUACAGCUCUUUAGAUAUCUUUUCAUCCUGAGCCUAGAUGGUCAUUACCUGAAGUGCACUGAGUACUUGGAAAGGAAGUUUGCAAACAUCCCUUGUAGAGUAGCAUUCGGCAAAUGGUUAAGCUAUUCAUUUUAUGUGAGUGUAUUGAUUCAUUUCAUCCUAAAAAAACAGCCUCCAAAAUGUGAAAGUAUCUUACACUAGGCUGAAUAUGCUGAAUACAAGUAUCAGCAGCAAUAAAAUUUAAGUGGCCUCUUCUAUCUAAAUUAAACAGGAAAAUAGCCUGUGUGAUUAUAAUGCAGAUGAACCAACUGUGCUAUUUGGCAUGGAUCUUCACUGAGGCACCGAGCAGUGUUCUGAAUUAUAUUGCAUUUCUUUGAUUUUUUAAAAAAAAUAAAUGUAAUUGAAGAGCCAACAUGAUUGCUGUUCACUGCUUCCUUUUGGCAGUAUUUUUCAGCAAUAAUCCAGGCCUGAAUGUCACAGUUUUCAGGAAUGUUAUGCUAAUCCACAGUGACUGUGGGUGAAUGAGAGUGCACCAAACAAGAAGCCUAAGGGCCCAGAAGCAUUUAUGAAUAUAAAGUAGAAACAACUCUUAAUGGUCUCAGUGAGGAUGGCCAAGUGUUUUAAAUAAUCAAGGCUUGAAAGAUAUUCUCACUUUGUUACUAGCGGCCAUGUUUCACAGAACCCUGCCCUGCCUCUAAUAAUAAUAAUAAUAAUAAUAAUAAUAAUAAUAAUAAUAGCUAAGACUUAUUGUUUGGUAUAUGUGAGAUACUGUGUUAAGCACGUUCUGUGAAUUCUUUUGCAUUUUCAGAACAGGCCAAUGAAAUUGGCGUUCUUAUUAGUGUCAGUUUUAUAAAACUUUGUAAAAGAUUUAGGGAGAAUGAUAAUUUUCUUAAAAUCACACCCAAAGGAAUUGGGAGAGCCAGAAUUUGAACCCACACUUCAAGGUGCAUGUGCUUACCAACACUGCAUCAUAUUAAACUUUCAUACCUUAUUAAAUGCAUAAGAGGUGUCUGAGAUUCUCUUGUGGGCGGUCAAGAGAUAAUCUAGGAGAGAGAAGGAAAAGUUGAGUUACCCUACUAUACAUAAAAGAAUUUAGACAUUUUUUGGCGAUGUCUUUACUGUGAUUCUAUUAGCAUUCAUGUUAUUAUAAGACUUCAUAUUUUAUAAAUUGAAAGAAAACUGAUCUGGGAUGAUCAGAUGCAUUCUCUCUCUCUCUCUCUCUCUCUCUCUCUCUCUCUCUCUCUCUUUCUUUUUCUCUCUCUAACUAGAAAAAUAGUUAUGAUUAAGUAUGGAAGGACACAUUAAAGAUAGAAAAUGAUAAAUGAGAAUAUUGGGAGGAUUUAAGAUAAAAUGUAUAUAAGUGUGAACUGGAAAAUUUGUAUUAUGAUUAAAAGAACAUUUAAGUAUAUAUGCAUUCACUUAUCCAGUAGCUCUAAUUGAGUACUUAGUAUUUAAUAGGAAAGGGGAGUAAACCAAUACAGAGCCAUGAUCUUCGCCCUCGAGAAGCUCACAGAUUAGUUGGAGUGAGAUUUUCAAGGGAAAAUGUGUAAUAUACUCUGCAAAUACAGGUUUUAUGGGAUCUUCAAAGAGAGGGUCUGCAUCCUGACUAAAGAAAUCAGGGAAGGCUUUGCAGAAAAGGUAAUGAUAGGUUUAAUACAUUAAAUAGAGAUUUGCUUGCUAAAUAAUGAGGAGGAAAAUCCUUGGGGAGGAAGUCACAGAUCUGGAAAGAGUGUGGAAUGUUGGGAAAUUAAGAACGGCUUGCUAAAUGGAAAGCUAAGUAUUCUUAGGGAGAGUGGUGGUUGAUGAGCCUGGGUAGACAAGUAGGGAUCGAGACUAAGAAACUUUCUGUGACAUGCCAGCAUUUUGAUUUAAUUAUGGGGAGAAAAAUGUAGACAAGAUAAUAAGAAGAUCCAAUCCAGUAUUCAAGUGAAAAUUAUCUUUCUGACGGCAGAAUGAAUAGCAAUGUUUUGAAGAUGUGAUUGAUUGAUUGAUUUUUUUCAGCUGUAACAUAUUGCCUCAAACUUAGUGGUUUAAAAAAAAAAAAAGGAACUUAACAGUUUUGGAGGUCAGGAGCCCUAAAAUCAAAGUGCUGGCAGGACUGAGCUCCAUCCGGAGGCUAAAGGAGAGAAUUAGUUCCUUUUCCAGUUUCUAGAGGCUGCUUGCUUAGUUUACUCGGACCCCUCUAUCUUACUAUCUUCAAAGCUGGCAGUGUAACAGCUUCAUGGACUCUUCAAAUAGCUCCCUCCCCCUCCUUUUUCCUGACCCCUGCAUUUUCUCUUAAAAAGAGUUAAAGUUACUAACAAGAUACAGGCUAGAAAGUUUCAUUCAUUUAUACAUUCAAUACAAAGCUUAUGAAAAAAAUAACUAUUCUGAAGAAAAAAGAGAGGUCUUGGUUCCUAUGUUUUUCUUUUAAAGACUUUGCUACUUUGUGUUGGGAAGAAGGAUGGCAUAGUGGUAAUGGUGCGGCCCUGGAGUUAGACAGUGUAGGUCUGAGUUCUGGCUCCCUUGUUUUCCAUGACCCUUGGGCAAGUCACGUGCUCUGUAAGCUUCCACCAUCCUCAGCCAUACGUGGGCAUGGCAGUGGCAAUUACUUCCUUGUGUCAUUGUAGAUAUUGAAUGAAACAACAUGUGUAAAGCACUUAGCUCAUUGAAUGGCAUGUAGCGAGCAGUCAACUAACAUUAGCUGUCAUCAUCCUCAUAAUUAUUAUUUUAAACUAUUCCCCUGCUACUGUCAAAAGAACAGAGUAGUUCUGUAUGUCAUAUGUUAACUACAAUAAAGUUGGUUGCAGAACAAUAUGUACAGCAAUGUCCUGUUUUUAUAAAAGAAAAAUACAAACCUGCAUGUGUAUUUUGAAAGGUCCGAAAGGAUUCAUACGAUCCAGCGUUUAAUAAUACUUACAUCGGGGCAAUUGGGAAGACUUUUAGGCCUUGUGAACAUUUUUAUUUUUGUGAUUUUUUAAAACACAAUUGAUAAAGAGAAAAAUCACUCCAUCAUAACCCUGCUGAGGGGAGAGUCCUAAGGUGUCUAAAUGUAUAGAGAGAAGGUUCAUUCCACCCAGACAGGCUCUCCCCCAGUGAACGCAAUGUGAAGGAGGGGUGGGGGUCAGUGGGAGGGGCCUGGGCAAAGGGCACAGAGAGGGGAAGGAUGGAGACACCUGGAGGAUGUGAAUUGACCCAUUUUCCCAUUUGGUUGGAGCCAGGUUGUGUGGAAGAAUGGUGGGAAACAGGACCGAGUUUGGUGCUCUCAAUGCAAAGCCACGUGUUCUCACUGUGGUAGGGACAUGUGAGGCAUCAGCUGGGAGGGUUGGGACAGGGAGCAGGAAGUCCUGGCAGGCUCUCCUCAGGUCAGCCGGGCCUGCAGCCGCUGUCUGAAUCAGGGGCGGGCAGGAGAAAUGGGUGGUCCAGGCAUCCAAAGGGAAGAAGACUUUGGCAGUUUUGUGGUGACGGUUGGAAGUAGAAAGCGAAGGAGAAGGUAAGAAUGGCAGGCUUUAAACCUGGUGACAACAUUAGGGAAUAACAUUGCAGGAGGGAAGGUAGGCGGAGGCGGGAGAUGCUUUGUUGGACACACUGUUUAUUUCAAAGUAUGGAUGGAACAUUUAGCUGGACACGACUUGGAGUUCUGCAGAAAGACUGGGAACAGAUAUGAGCUGGCAGCCUCAACAUGACGGUUGAAGAGUCAGGACUAGAUGGAAUGACUUUGGUCUUGUGAACAUUUUUAUUUUUGUGAUUUUUUAAAACACAAUUGAUAAAGUUUCAAUUUCCAUCUCCCUGGACAGUCUUUAACCAAUUCUAUAGUCACAUAAUAAUGAAUGUAAUUAUAUUAUAUAUUUGUAUAGUCUAUUACAGUUUAUAAAGUACUUUCACACUGAUGUCAUCAUUGUUACAUCUCAUCCAUUUAAUGGGUCAAAUGGAUCAGAAAACCAAGACCCGGAGAUUUUAAGUGACUUAGUCAAGAUCACAGAGAUGAUCAUGCCACACAGAUGGCAGACUUGGAUCUUAAACCAGAACUUUUUCCCAAUUAAUUGCAGUUUUUACCAUAACAGUACAGCCUUUCUUAUAGAAAAAAAAAAAAUACCUAAAAUAGUCUA